Molecule: unclassified non-coding RNA, 349 nt
Filed under: soil metagenome
Description: partial contains 5.8S ribosomal RNA, internal transcribed spacer 2, and large subunit ribosomal RNA
Rfam family: 5.8S ribosomal RNA (bases 1-120)
Source: RNAcentral
GAUGAAGAACGCAGCGAAAUGCGAUAAGUAAUGUGAAUUGCAGAAUUCAGUGAAUCAUCGAAUCUUUGAACGCACAUUGCGCCCGCCAGUAUUCUGGCGGGCAUGCCUGUCUGAGCGUCAUUUCAACCCUCAUGCCCCUAGGGCGUGGUGUUGGGGAUCGACCAAAGCCCGCAAGGGACGGCCGGCCCCUAAAUCUAGUGGCGGACCCGUCGUGGCCUCCCCUGCGAAGUAGUGAUAUUCCGCAUAGGAGAAGCGACGAGCCCCUGCCGUUAAACCCCCAACUUUCUCAGGUUGACCUCAGAUCAGGUAGGAAUACCCGCUGAACUUAAGCAUAUCAAUAAGCGGAGGA